This 85-nucleotide transfer RNA is filed under the name Burkholderiales bacterium. RNAcentral's name for it is "tRNA-Leu". It matches the Rfam family "tRNA". Rfam says of the family: Transfer RNA (tRNA) molecules are approximately 80 nucleotides in length. Their secondary structure includes four short double-helical elements and three loops (D, anti-codon, and T loops). The record is from RNAcentral. Lineage: Bacteria; Pseudomonadati; Pseudomonadota; Betaproteobacteria; Burkholderiales.
GCGAAAGUGGCGAAAUUGGUAGACGCACCAGAUUUAGGUUCUGGCGCCGCAAGGCGUGUGGGUUCGAGUCCCUCCUUUCGCACCA